Molecule: ribosomal RNA, 241 nt
Filed under: uncultured bacterium
Lineage: Bacteria
Description: partial 16S ribosomal RNA
Rfam family: Bacterial small subunit ribosomal RNA
Source: RNAcentral
CGGGGAUGGAUUAGCGGCGAACGGGUGAGGAACACGUGAAGAAUCUGCCUUCAACUCUGGGAUAACACCGGGAAACCGGUGCUAAUACUGGAUAAGCCUUUACGGGGAAAGUUUUAAUGCCAAAAGAUGAGCCCGCAUUUGAUUAGCUAGUUGGUAAGGUAAUGGCUUACCAAGGCAACGAUCAAUAGCUGUUCUUAGAGGGAGACCAGCCACAUUGGGACUGAGAUACGGCCCAGACUCC